This 328-nucleotide long non-coding RNA is filed under the name Phoenix dactylifera (date palm). RNAcentral's name for it is "long non-coding RNA (PDAC_LNC013274)". The record is from RNAcentral. Lineage: Eukaryota; Viridiplantae; Streptophyta; Magnoliopsida; Arecales; Arecaceae.
UGGAAGGCUGAUCUUCACUAGGGCUGGAUGCAGCCCUAACAAAGGGACAUGGGUUUUAUAUUUUUAAUUUUAUAUUCUUGGAGUUGUAUGAACUUAUUGUUUUUAAUGAAUAUCUUCUUUUAUUUCAUGUUUAAUUUCUGUGAUUUUAAAUAUGAAGUUUAUACAACUAUUCUUCAUGAUCAUUGAAGUAAAAAUAAGAUAGUCCAUGCUUAAGGAAGAUGCGAUGUGCUGCCACCUUAGAUUAGGGUAGACAUUUCAUGCCAACUGAAGAUGGAUUAUGCCUAAAUUACUUUUGUGAGAUUUUAUUCAAAUGCUUAUUAGGCUUGUA